This 359-nucleotide long non-coding RNA is filed under the name Ananas comosus (pineapple). Its description in RNAcentral is "long non-coding RNA (ACOM_LNC033500)". Lineage: Eukaryota; Viridiplantae; Streptophyta; Magnoliopsida; Poales; Bromeliaceae. The record is from RNAcentral.
GGGUUUUUUUUUUUUUGAGAGAUAGGUAGCACGCUACCCGCUUCGUUUAUUUCAUUAAGAAAAAUUUACAUUGGGUUAAAUUUGAAUUUUCACUAAAAGUCUAUAUUUAAAUUUGCAUGUAAAGUUUCAGUUUAAAUUUAAUUUUUGGUUUGAAUUUGGUUCUAGAAAUAGAUUUGGAUUUGAAUAUUAAUUAUAAAUUUGAAUCUUUAACUUUUACAUUUAUGAUUUAGUUAGAUUUUAAAUUUGGUUAAAUUUUGAUUUGAAUAUUGAUCAUGGUUUAAUUUUAAAUUUGAAUUUGGAUUGUUAGAGGUUAGGAUUAGAAUUGAGUAUCGAUUAUAGUGUUUAUGUGGAAAACAUUG